UACGUAGGGGGCAAGCGUUGUCCGGAUUUAUUGGGCGUAAAGAGCGUGUAGGCGGCCAGACAGGUCCGUUGUGAAAACUCGAGGCUCAACCUCGAGAUGUCGAUGGAAACCGUCUGGCUAGAGUCCGGAAGAGGAGUGUGGAAUUCCUGGUGUAGCGGUGAAAUGCGCAGAUAUCAGGAAGAACACCAGUGGCGAAGGCGGUCUGCUGGGCGGUGGGACCGAAAGGUCUCGAUGCCGACACUGAGGCGCGACAGCGUGGGAGCAAACAGG
This 270-nucleotide ribosomal RNA is filed under the name uncultured bacterium. Its description in RNAcentral is "partial 16S ribosomal RNA". It matches the Rfam family "Bacterial small subunit ribosomal RNA", at positions 524 to 776 of the family's 1533-position model. The record is from RNAcentral.